GUUUCUUAAGAAACAUGUUGCCCAACGCCCCUCUGAGACCAGUCUUGAUCAAUCUGUGAAAGACUUACUGAGUGAAGGACAGGACAUUGAUAACUCCACCAGUGAUGAAGACAUUGCAGAUACAUCUGAGGCACUAGGACCACAUACCUCUACCCAGCAAGAGGGUCAAGACCACACCUCCCUUUUUCCCACUCCCAGGCCUGCUUUAAAAUGCCGAAAGGCUGACACAGACACUGUUGAACAACAAAAACUGAAGCUGUUACAACAGAUGUCUGCUUCAGUUCUGGCCUCCCCAGAUGCCUGCAGCUCUUUUGGAAACCAGGUUGCUGUGGAGCUCAGGUUAAUAAAGAAUACAAGUCUACAGACCAGGGUAAAAAGACAAAUAAUGAAUGCUUUGUUUGAGGCCCAGGAGGCAGACCAAUCUAGUUCCUCAUCAUCCUCACACAUGCCACCACCCAUAUAUUCACCUCUCACACCUACACAAAUGCCCACCUCAACCCCUCUAUACACGCAGACACCUCAACACUACCAUCAGCAC
Molecule: long non-coding RNA, 538 nt
Organism: Sinocyclocheilus grahami
Lineage: Eukaryota; Metazoa; Chordata; Actinopteri; Cypriniformes; Cyprinidae
Exons: 3
Source: RefSeq, a predicted model, not a curated record